UAAUCAUCGUUGGGAGGGGGAGAGUUUUGAGUCGGCCACAAACGUUUCUCUCUCUCCUAGCGACGGUUCUUUUCUUCCUCUUUCUCUCUCAUCUCCCCCUCUGACCAAAUUCCACAGAUUCCGUCAUGUCCACCGACGGAAACUCCACCGCCGCCGCGGCGGUUGAAAAGAUGUUCUUCUGUUACCAGUGCAACCGCACAGUCACAAUCUCAAUCUCCUCCGCCUCCUCCGAUCCCUUCUGCCCUCUUUGCUCCGGUGGGUUUCUCGAAGAACACGACGAACCAAACCCUAAUCCACCCCCAAAUCUCAAUCCCGGAGGAGGUUUCUUCCCCAUGGCCGAUCCUUUCUCCACCUUACUCCCUCUCCUAUUCGGCUCCUCCUCUUCCUCCACCGCAAACCCGAGCUUCUCCGGCCAACCAUCGAUGCAGCCUCGCUCCACGCGAAACGACGCGUUCGAUCCGGUGUCGUUUCUCCAGAACCAUCUCCAGCAUCUCCGAUCCAGCGGCACGCACGUGCAGUUCGUGAUCGAGAAUCACCCCUCCGAUCCGUCAAACCGAAUCCCGGGGAACCUCGGGGACUACUUCUUCGGCCCUGGACUCGAGCAAUUGAUUCAGCAGCUCGCGGAGAACGAUCCUAACCGCUACGGAACUCCUCCGGCGUCGAAAUCGGCCGUCGACGGGCUGCCGACUGUUAAGGUGACGAAGGAUAUGCUGAGGUCUGAGAUGAACCAGUGCGCUGUUUGUAUGGAUGAGUUUGAGGACGGUGGGGAUGUGAAGCAGAUGCCUUGCAAGCACGUGUUUCAUCAGGAUUGUUUGAUGCCGUGGCUGGAAUUGCAUAACUCUUGUCCGGUUUGUCGGUUUGAGUUGCCCACGGAUGAUCCUGAGUAUGAGAGUAGGGUUCAGGGUCGAGGAGGGGAGGCUAGUGGGGUUGGACAGGGGGCUGUGGAGACGGGGAGGAGGUUUAGUAUACAGGUGCCUUUACCGUUUAGGGGACGUGAUGAUGAUGCUUCUGGGUCGGGAGCACCUGGAACUGGAGGUGGAGCUAAUCUUGAGACCAGGCGGGAUGAUUUGGAUUGAGGUUUGUGUCUCUUGGCUUACUAAAGAAUCCUUUGCUUGAACUAGACUACUUGCUGUUUUAUGGUAGUGUGGCUGCGAGAACUUUGUCGAUGUGUGGCUAACUAUGUUUAACGUCAUGCUCGGGUCGUUUCAUCGUAUGGUCAGAGUCAUUGCUUGUAGAUUGGAUUGGAAGAAUGAUGUGCACAAGUUCUCAGGAAAAAAAAAAGUGACGUUGAGGUUUUACCAUAUUUUGUACAUUUACCAACAAAAAAAAAAACACGUUCUCGUCUGUACCUUUUUGGGAUUAUAACGAUUGUGAGUUAAAAUAAAAAAUCGCAAUAUUUCAUUCAAA
Molecule: RNA transcript, 1407 nt
Organism: Brassica napus (rape)
Lineage: Eukaryota; Viridiplantae; Streptophyta; Magnoliopsida; Brassicales; Brassicaceae
Gene name: E3 ubiquitin-protein ligase RING1-like
Exons: 2
Source: RefSeq, a predicted model, not a curated record